UUUUUGGUUUGGGGGGGGGAUUUCUGUUGACACGGUAGGAGUCGAGGGAUGUUUUGGUUUGGGGGAUGUCUGUUGACAUGGUAGGAGUCGAGGGAUGUUUUGGUUUGGGGCGAUGUCUGUUGACACGGUAGGAGUCGAGGGAUGUUUUGGUUUGGGGGGAUGUCUGUUGACACGGUAGGAGUCGAGGGAUGUUUUGGUUUGGGGGAUGUCUGUUGACACGGUAGGAGUCGAGGGAUGUUUUGGUUUGGGGGAUGUCUGUUGACGAGGGAUGAGUCGAGGGAUGUUUUGGUUUGGGGGAUGUCUGUUGACAUGGCAGGAGUCGAGGGAUUCGAGGGAUGUUUUGGUUUGAUGGGGAUGUCUGUUGACACGGUAGGAGUCGAGGGAUGUUUUGGUUUGGGGGAUGUCUGUUGACACGGUAGGAGUCGAGGGAUGUUUUGGUUUGGGGGAUGUCUGUUGACACGGUAGGAGUCGAGGGAUGUUUUGGUUUUGGGGGAUGGGAUGUCUGUUGACAUGGCAGGAGUCGAGGGAUGUUUUGGUUUAGGGGGAUGUUUUGGUUUGGGGGAUGUCUGUUGACAUGGCAGGAGUCGAGGGAUGUUUUGGUUUGGGGGAUGUCUGUUGACAUGGCGAGAGUCGAGGGAUGUUUUGGUUUGGGGGAUGUCUGUUGACAUGGUAGGAGUCGAGGGAUCACACUGUCAGCAGCGUCUCUCUGCCACUCGGCCUAUGUAGCGGCCGGAGUUUCCCGUUGGACAGAGCGGUGAGUGAAUGUGUUGCUAACGAGGCAAAUCCAGGGGAGCAGGCGAACAUAACGAGCAUUCAUGAAUCAUUCAUGAUUUCACUCGUUAGCAAAGGUAAGUGCGAUUACAACUCAGAUCAACGCUGGGAAAGCAAUAAUAAGUGGAUAAACGAUCAUUAACAAAAUAAAAAGGCAAGUAAACUAUUUCACAAAUAAAAAUGUGUGUAAAUGGCAUUUACCCUCCACUACAUCCCUGGAUGGGUCUGGCAAAACCAUUCAUCAACAUCUAUAUCCUGCCAGGCAGGAGGAUGGAAUCUACAUUUGUCCGACAUUUUAGCUGUCGAUAUGACUUGUGACGACGCAUAACCAGUC
Molecule: long non-coding RNA, 1105 nt
Organism: Oncorhynchus tshawytscha (Chinook salmon)
Lineage: Eukaryota; Metazoa; Chordata; Actinopteri; Salmoniformes; Salmonidae
Source: Ensembl